GCGUCGCGAAUACAUGUAGUCGAACGGGCAAGUAGCAAUAUUUGUUAGUGGCGAACGGGUGAGUAGCGCGUGGGUGACCUGCCCCGAAGCUGGGGAUAACAGCUCGAAAGGGCUGCUAAUACCCGAUGUGGACAAGCCAGUUAGAGAAGCUUGUCUAAAGGAGCAAUCCACUUUGGGAGGGACCUGCGACCCAUCAGCUAGUUGGUAAGGUAACGGCCUACCAAGGCGACGACGGGUAGGGGGCCUGAGAGGGUGGCCCCCCACACUGGCACUGAAACACGGGCCAGACACCUACGGGUGGCAGCAGUAGGGAAUAUUGCACAAUGGGCGCAAGCCUGAUGCAGCAACGCCGCGUGCGCGAUGAAGGCCUUCGGGUCGUAAAGCGCUUUUCUGGGAGACGAGGAAGGACGGUAUCCCAGGAAUAAGUCUCGGCUAACUACGUGCCAGCAGCCGCGGUAAAACGUAGGAGACAAGCGUUAUCCGAAUUUACUGGGCGUAAAGCGCGUGCAGGUGGUUAGGUAAGUUGAAUGUGAAAUCUCCUGGCUCAACUGGGAGAGGCUGUUCAAGACUGCCUGGCUAGAGGGCGGUAGAGGGAGGUGGAAUUCCCGGUGUAGUGGUGAAAUGCGUAGAUAUCGGGAGGAACACCUGUGGCGAAAGCGGCCUCCUGGACCGUACCUGACGCUCAGACGCGAAAGCUAGGGGAGUGAACGGGAUUAGAAACCCCGGUAAUCCUAGCCGUAAACGAUGUGGACUGGGUGUCGGUGGGGUAAAAGCCAUCGGUGCCGAAGCCAACGCGAUAAGUCCACCGCCUGGGGACUACGGCCGCAAGGUUA
This 833-nucleotide ribosomal RNA is filed under the name uncultured bacterium. RNAcentral's name for it is "bacterial SSU rRNA". It matches the Rfam family "Bacterial small subunit ribosomal RNA", at positions 42 to 896 of the family's 1533-position model. The record is from RNAcentral.